Long non-coding RNA from Polyodon spathula (Mississippi paddlefish), 1870 nucleotides. RefSeq lists it as uncharacterized. NCBI's taxonomy places the organism in Eukaryota, Metazoa, Chordata, Actinopteri, Acipenseriformes, Polyodontidae. The record is from RefSeq and is a predicted model, not a curated record. The transcript is spliced from 4 exons.
GAGAGAGAGAGGGAAGGAAGGAAGGAAGGAAGGAUAAAACUUUAAGUCAUGCCGGCCGCUGCGAUAUUUUAUAUCAUUGAACCAAAUGCCUGUACAGUACAGAUACACUGCGGCUCCAACAAAGGAGCAGCUGAAUGAGAAACCAAAGGAGCAAAACUUUUUUUUUUUUUUUGUUCAAUACAGUACAUACACAAAAUAGAUAAUUAGGCGUGUACGGUUCUGGCUUUAGGCACCAUCGAAGUUGCACCUCCACCCCCCUGAAGCAAGAGAUUCAAAUGAAUUCAGGAGGAUCACAACAAUCCGGCUAGAAUCAACUUUCAUGGAGAAACUGGACUACUACAUGCCAAGACUGUUGUCUUUAUUCAAGAGGAAAGGAGGUGCUGCAGGGGUGAAAUUGGAGGGGAUCCAGGAAAUUCCGUAUGGGAGCAACACUGUUGAGAAGAGAAACCAUGAUCCUUGGCCUCAUCAUAUACCUCGGUGAGAACGUGGAGGACCCUUUCAAAGAAUGCCAGGAUGCAGAGGAUGCCAACAUUCAAGAGGACCUCACACAAGAUCUUCAUGGUCAACAAAUGUGCCACCGAUGACGACAAUCCAGUGGAUGUGGGGAUAGCCAUUGAAGGAGCCGAUGCCCUAUCUGGUAUUUCUAGUGUAGCACAGGCAUGCGCUUUCUUGAUGGGCCGUAUCUACGCCUUAAACCUAAGCUACCCCAAAAAACUGAAAUAUACCUUUGAUGUAUUCCAGAAAGUCUUGGAACUGAAUGUAGAGAAAACCACCUCCAAGGUCCAGCCACUUAGGAGAAAUUUACUCGCCUAAAUGGCAAGCAUAAAACCCAAAGGUGGAGCUUUUGUGUUUGGAUGAUAGAUCCUUUGUCAGAAUCUAAACUGUUAAAUGCUUAAAGUUAACUACCACUUGAACUUCUGAGUUUACUUGAAUGAACAGCUGUUUGUUUAAUUUGUAACACGGGAAUCUGCUAUUGUUUCUGCCAGAGAAAACGGAUUUCAACAUGUUAAAUGCUCACAGAUUGACUUUUUUCUCUUUGCCUGUUUUGAGGAAACAAAACCUAAUUAUGUUUGUGUCCAUUUUCAAAUGUUACAGUAGACAAACUGUUUCUUUAAAGGGAUAGUUCACUUUUUACACCUUAUAGUCAGAUGGUUCCUUACCCUGAAAGUGGUCAGUGGGCCUGGAGAAACUGUAAUCCAGGGUUUAUAGUUGUUUAAAUAGCAACUACUAACUUCAGCUAACUUUAACCUGGCUAACAACAACAAAAACCAUGGAAGUGAUGGGGGCAAUUAGACAGAGUUCAAAAUUGCAUAGUCAAAUCAACUCGAAUGAACCUUCUUACUUGGUUGGUAGUUACUUUGAGGUGAUUUGGCCACACAUAUUGAACUUUGUUUAAUUCACUCCCAUUGUUUUUGUUAGUCGUGGCUAAAGCUGAAGUUAGUAGUGGCUUAAAAAACUCCGAACAAUGGAUUACAGUUUUUCCAAGCACAUGGACUACUUUCAGAGUAAAGAACUAUCAGACUAUAAGGUGUAAAAAGUGAACUAUCCCUUUAACUACACUGCUGGGCAGCUCUCACUGCAGGAUUUCAACCUUGUACGCCAUUUUACAUUUCUCAGGGAAAGAAGUGUAGUGAAGUGGUUUGGAUUGUUGAAAGGAAUCAGUUCUGUGUCUUUUGCAAUAGAAACAUGUUAAAUUCUUGAAGUUAACUUUUUUUAUGUGAACUUUAAAAUGUACAUAUGUGCAACUUAUGGUUGAUUUCAGAGAUCAUGCAGAGGAAAAAUGGCUUAACAUUAAUAUUUGAACUUGAAGUUUUGUAUUUGAAAUGUUCACAUUUCUGAAAUAAGUCAAAUAAAGUGAAGUUUGAAUGUU